RNAcentral lists this ribosomal RNA (1455 nucleotides) under metagenome. Its description in RNAcentral is "bacterial LSU rRNA". It matches the Rfam family "Bacterial large subunit ribosomal RNA", at positions 1458 to 2891 of the family's 2925-position model. The record is from RNAcentral.
AAAGCAAUGGGGUGACGCAGGAAGGUAACCCAACCCAGGCGAUGGUUGACCUGGGGUAAGGAUGUAGGGCGAGAUGUAGGCAAAUCCGCAUCUCACGUGCCUGAGAUCUGACGCCGAGCCGAUUCAGGUGAAGUGGGUAAUCCUAUGCUGCCAAGAAAAGCCUCUAGCGAGUGUUAAAGCCGCCCGUACCCCAAACCGACACAGGUGGUCAGGUAGAGAAUACUAAGGCGAUCGAGAUAACUAUGGUUAAGGAACUCGGCAAAAUGCCCCCGUAACUUCGGGAGAAGGGGGGCCCGUUCUGGUGAGGAGAUUUACUCUCCGAGCUGGGAUUGGCCGCAGAGACCAGGCCCAAGCGACUGUUUACUAAAAACACAGGUCCAUGCUAAGUCGCAAGACGCUGUAUAUGGACUGACGCCUGCCCGGUGCUGGAACGUUAAGGGGACGGGUUAGCGACUUCGGUCGCGAAGCUCAGAACUUAAGCGCCAGUAAACGGCGGUGGUAACUAUAACCAUCCUAAGGUAGCGAAAUUCCUUGUCGGGUAAGUUCCGACCUGCACGAAUGGCGUAACGACUUGGGCGCUGUCUCAACCGUAGACUCGGCGAAAUUGCACUACGAGUAAAGAUGCUCGUUACGCGCGGCAGGACGGAAAGACCCCGGGACCUUUACUACAGCUUGGUAUUGGUGGUCGAUUCGAUUUGUGUAGGAUAGGUGGGAGACUGUGAACUUCGGACGCCAGUUCGAAGGGAGUCAUCGUUGAAAUACCACUCUGAUCGUAUUGGCUGUCUAACCUAGAUCCGUAAUCCGGAUCAGGGUCAGUGCCUGGUGGGUAGUUUAACUGGGGCGGUUGCCUCCUAAAAUGUAACGGAGGCGCUCAAAGGUUCCCUCAGCCUGGUUGGCAAUCAGGUAUCGAGUGUAAGUGCACAAGGGAGCUUGACUGUGAGACUGACGGGUCGAGCAGGGACGAAAGUCGGAACUAGUGAUCCGGCGCUGGCAAGUGGAAGCGGCGUCGCUCAACGGAUAAAAGGUACCCCGGGGAUAACAGGCUGAUCUUGCCCAAGAGUCCAUAUCGACGGCAUGGUUUGGCACCUCGAUGUCGGCUCGUCGCAUCCUGGGGCUGGAGUAGGUCCCAAGGGUUGGGCUGUUCGCCCAUUAAAGCGGCACGCGAGCUGGGUUUAGAACGUCGUGAGACAGUUCGGUCCCUAUCCGCCGCGCGCGUAAGAGUCUUGAGAAGAUCUGUCCCUAGUACGAGAGGACCGGGAUGGACGAACCUCUGGUGUGUCAGUUGUCCUGCCAAGGGCACUGCUGAUUAGCUACGUUCGGAAGAGAUAACCGCUGAAAGCAUCUAAGCGGGAAACUCGCUUCAAGAUGAGGGCUCUCACAGGGUUAACCUGGUAAGGCCCCCAGUAGACCACUGGGUUGAUAGGCCGGAGGUGGAAGUGCGGUAACGCAUGCAGC